RNAcentral lists this ribosomal RNA (460 nucleotides) under uncultured bacterium. RNAcentral describes it as "partial 16S ribosomal RNA". It matches the Rfam family "Bacterial small subunit ribosomal RNA", at positions 338 to 795 of the family's 1533-position model. The record is from RNAcentral.
CCUACGGGAGGCAGCAGUGAGGAAUAUUGGUCAAUGGGCGCUAGCCUGAACCAGCCAAGCAGCGUGAAGGAAGACUGCCCUAUGGGUUGUAAACUUCUUUUAUAUGGGAAUAAAGUCCAGUAUGUGUACCGCUCUGCAUGUAUCUUAUGAAUAAGGAUCGGCUAACUCCGUGCCAGCAGCCGCGGUAAUACGGAGGAUGCGAGCGUUAUCCGGAUUUAUUGGGUUUAAAGGGUGCGUAGGCGGGUUGUUAAGUCAGUUGUUAAAUUUGGGGGCUCAACCUUAAAAGUGCAGUUGAUACUGGCAGACUUGAGUACAGUAGAGGUAGGCGGAAUGCGUGGUGUAGCGGUGAAAUGCUUAGAUAUCACGAAGAACUCCGAUUGCGAAGGCAGCCUGCUGGACUGUAACUGACGCUGAGGCACGAAAGUGUGGGGAUCAAACAGGAUUAGAUACCCCAGUAGUC